GACGAACGCUGGCGGCGUGCCUAAUACAUGCAAGUCGAGCGAAUCUUUGGGAGCUUGCUCCCGGAAGUUAGCGGCGGACGGGUGAGUAACGCGUGGGCAACCUGCCUCAUACAGGGGGAUAACAGUUAGAAAUGACUGCUAAUACCGCAUAAGCGCACAGUAUCGCAUGAUACGGUGCGAAAAAUCACAGUGGUAUGAGAUGGGCCCGCGUCUGAUUAGCUAGUUGGUAAGGUAAUGGCUUACCAAGGCGACGAUCAGUAGCCGGCUUGAGAGAGUGAACGGCCACAUUGGGACUGAGACACGGCCCAAACUCCUACGGAGGCUG
This 325-nucleotide ribosomal RNA is filed under the name uncultured Bacillota bacterium. Its description in RNAcentral is "bacterial SSU rRNA". It matches the Rfam family "Bacterial small subunit ribosomal RNA", at positions 28 to 351 of the family's 1533-position model. Lineage: Bacteria; Bacillati; Bacillota. The record is from RNAcentral.